RNAcentral lists this ribosomal RNA (253 nucleotides) under uncultured bacterium. RNAcentral describes it as "partial 16S ribosomal RNA". It matches the Rfam family "Bacterial small subunit ribosomal RNA", at positions 524 to 776 of the family's 1533-position model. The record is from RNAcentral.
UACAGAGGUGGCAAGCGUUGUUCGGAAUCACUGGGCGUAAAGCGCACGUAGGCGGACUCUUAAGUCGGUGGUGAAAUCCUGGAGCUCAACUCCAGAACUGCCUUCGAUACUGAGAGUCUUGAGUCCGGGAGAGGUGAGUGGAACUGCGAGUGUAGAGGUGAAAUUCGUAGAUAUUCGCAAGAACACCAGUGGCGAAGGCGGCUCACUGGCCCGGUACUGACGCUGAGGUGCGAAAGCGUGGGGAGCAAACAGG